This 370-nucleotide ribosomal RNA is filed under the name uncultured organism. RNAcentral's name for it is "partial 16S ribosomal RNA". It matches the Rfam family "Bacterial small subunit ribosomal RNA", at positions 527 to 896 of the family's 1533-position model. The record is from RNAcentral.
GUAGGUGGCAAGCGUUGUCCGGAAUUAUUGGGCGUAAAGCGCGCGCAGGCGGUUCUUUAAGUCUGAUGUGAAAGCCCACGGCUCAACCGUGGAGGGUCAUUGGAAACUGGAGAACUUGAGUACAGAAGAGGAAAGCGGAAUUCCACGUGUAGCGGUGAAAUGCGUAGAGAUGUGGAGGAACACCAGUGGCGAAGGCGGCUUUCUGGUCUGUAACUGACGCUGAGGCGCGAAAGCGUGGGGGAGCAAACAGGAUUAGAUACCCUGGUAGUCCACGCCGUAAACGAUGAGUGCUAAGUGUUAGGGGGUUUCCGCCCCUUAGUGCUGCAGCUAACGCAUUAAGCACUCCGCCUGGGAUACGGCCGCAAGGCUG